GAUGAACGCUGGCGGCGUGUUUAAGGCAUGCAAGUCGAACGAACAUACUGCGAUUACAUCAACUGUAUGAGAGUGGCAAACGGGAGCGUAACACAUUGGUCACCUGCCUCGAAGUCGAGAACAACCUUGGGAAACCAGGGCUAAUACUCGAUACUGAUGAGAGAACUCAAGUUCCCUCAUUGAAAGAUUUAUCACUUCGAGAGGGGCCUAUGCCCUANCAGCUAGUUGGUGAGGUAAUGGCUCACCAAGGCAAUGAC
RNAcentral lists this ribosomal RNA (257 nucleotides) under uncultured bacterium. RNAcentral describes it as "partial 16S ribosomal RNA". It matches the Rfam family "Bacterial small subunit ribosomal RNA", at positions 28 to 280 of the family's 1533-position model. The record is from RNAcentral.